GUGAUUUAGUACAUUCUUUGCUUAGCUUUACCUGUUCAGCAGGAGUAGUGUGAUUUGCUGAAACCUUAGGCUGCAAACUGUGAGCUCACAGUUUCCAUACGUUUUCAUAUAGGAAUAGAGUUAAUUUUCUCACUAAUUUUCCAACUAUCUGCUACAGUGCUGUGUUUUGUCUUUAGUAUGAGAAGGAAAUUGCCAACACACUCACAUUUUGGUUGUUGCUAAGUAAUGUUUAUCUUGAGUCCAGGUUUUUUUAGUUUCCCAUGCUCUACCAGCAAGCAGCUGCACCAAGAAGCACAAACAAGAAGAUUAGGAAGCUAUAACCAUCAGCAGGAGCUGCAACCUGGCAAAACAAGGACAAGGUAUGACCUGCCUACAUGAACACAGAAAAAAUAAUCCAAUAAGGUGUUAGAAUUUCCCACACCAAAAAUUACCAAGAGGUACAUGCAAAGUGCUUGAAGAGUAGAGAAGAGGUGAGCACAUGAGUUAUAAGGGUAAAAUUGCCUUAAUUAUUUCUUUGUUCUGGGUCCCUCUGCAGAGGCACCUGACUCAAGCUGACCUGCUGCCAUACCAUGCUAUUGAAUUAUUUAUUUUUAUAAAUCCAGUGCCUGAGAUCCUGCUCCUGGGGACCCAGGGUCAAGUCUACAGAAGGAGGAAAUGCAAAGGGACUCAGGUCACAGCAGGAAACAGAACUAUGCACCUUAUUGCAGGGUUUAAAACACCAGUUCUGAGGACUUCUAAGGCUACCAACUGUCCCAGGUGUCAGAAAAACCUUAUGGAAUUGCAGCAAGUUAUAAUCUUCUCCACACUUUUGAAUCAUCUGUGCUGGCAGAAAAACAGUGCAGGCCAACAGCAGGUAGCCUAAUACCUGUUGCCUUGACCUGGGUGCUGUGUUGGUGGAAUAGCUUUCCUGAAUUGUUUGCUUCUUGCUCUCAUUAUUACUAGAUGGCAGAAGAUAUGCCUCUGAUAAUGAUGGACAAUAUUACAAGCUUAUUCUGGAGGAUUUUUGCUUUUCAAAAGCAAUUUCAAAAGAAAAACUCUACAUAAUUUCUCAGUAUACCAGCUGCAUAUACACUGCUUUUUAUUACAUGAAAAGUAAAAUACUUUUCUGAUGGCAUAAGUAGUUCUAACUACAUGGGAUUAUUCACAGUAAAGAGAAUCCACUCCUUGGUUUGGUAUGCUGACUGAAAUCUACAGGAUAACAGAGAGAGGUCAGGAUUUUUCAAAGUGGUCUGAAUUAUUCUGCUGCUGCUGCCAGUGCCAAUCUGAAUUCUCUAAGAGCAUAAUUCACUAAGCACAUGUGCUGUUCUCUUUCCAAAAUCAGUGGUAUUCUAAGAUUUCAGUUAUUUGUUGGAAAAAAACGAC
Molecule: long non-coding RNA, 1362 nt
Filed under: Cyanistes caeruleus (blue tit)
Lineage: Eukaryota; Metazoa; Chordata; Aves; Passeriformes; Paridae
Description: lncRNA (ENSCCEG00000000505.1)
Source: RNAcentral